Molecule: long non-coding RNA, 1587 nt
Organism: Pogona vitticeps (central bearded dragon)
Lineage: Eukaryota; Metazoa; Chordata; Lepidosauria; Squamata; Agamidae
Source: Ensembl
CCCUCGCGAGCUCGAACCCGUUCUGCCAACGAGCGAUGAGGAACGGCCGGAGGCUGAGCACCUCCCUCCUUCCUGGCUUCUCCCUCCCCCCCUCAACGGUGUGAAUGACACUCCAGUGUUUGCGGUCGUGGGUGCUUACAUAAAAGGAGGGGUCGGAGCCUCAGUCGUUAAUGACCUUGUACCCUUGCUGCACAGUCUUAUCCGAUGCAAGUUCGCAAGAAGAAAGACUUAAUAUGGAUCCCGCUCUAUUUGACAAAGUAAACGAUAAGCAAGAUGGUAUCCUUCAUUAAGAUGCAGGACGCAGCCUUGGGCAAAUGGCUCCCCAGCUCACCGCCAUACACUUCUACUUACUCGAAAGCAAGCUCACACUGGCUCUUGUCCCAGGAAGGAGCUAUUUGGGGGAACUCAGCAUCUGCCUCUCCCAAUUGGCCUCACUGGAAUCAGACUCAACAGUUUUCUCAGAAAGAUGGAGAUCAGGAUGGCUGAUCUGGAUACCAUGUGAAGAGUCCUCUCUUGAUUUUGCAUCCUGCAGCUUUCAACAGCACCAGACCACUAAUGCUAGCUUAACACUGAAGGAAAGUCAAUAAAAAAACCCAAAAGUUCAACAAAUACAUUAAGUGGUUCUUUUGUGUUAAGAAUAUCAAUUGUGUUGGAAAUUUGCUGUGUUAUCAACCCCCCCUUAUUCAUUCAUAUCCGUAUUUAUCCAUUCACUGUCAUCUUGCCCUUCUCUGUCCAGCUGUGACAUAUCCUUGCCCUGGCCCCAUAGAGCAGUAAGGCUGUGUGCCACAGAUGUGGAUUUCCAUCACAUAUGCCUUGGCUGUGCCAACAAAUUGUUGGAUCUUACCCAGUUAUUAGUUCUUUCUAAUAGAUCUGAUUUCAUUUUGUUCAUAGCAACCUUUCAGGGAGCAGAAUAUGUGGUAUUGGGUAAAAGGGCAUUUUGCACUAAACACUUUAAUUUUGCAACUCGGAGAAUAAUUUAUGCAUAUUACUAAUUCUAAACAAUUCCUGAGCAUUAACAACUUGCAGGGUCACAGCUCAGAUGCAUGGAGUAUCGCAAACUGCCAUCCUCACCACCACUACAAGAGGAAAAAGUAUGUUUGGUCCUCAGUAUUGGCUGAUUAUGUAAGUGCUGCCCCUCACAGCUCUUUCACUUUGCAUGGAGGUCAAAGGUCUUCCUGCUGUUGAUCAUUCCUUUUGCUCCUGAGGAAUGCAGUAAGUUCAUAGAUUUACAUUCAUGUCCAGACCGUAUGCCUCUCAUUGGCAAACAGUACAAAGAGAGUGCAGAACUUAGACGUCAUACAGAAAGGCUUUUCUGAUAAUCUUUCUUCUACAACUCCCUUUACUCUUCACAGGUUGCUUUUCAAUUAAAGGGAGGGCCACCCCAUUUGGUGUAGACCACCUCUUUUAAUAUUGACUGGCAAUGCAAGCAGCUGUUCCUUGCAGAGUCUGUUAACUUGUUUGCCCAACCUGGCUCCUGGCAAGCUCCAGGACAGACCGCCAAACAACAUAUGAUGUCUGCAUCCUGGAUAUAAAAGCUUAGUAGACACCAUACCACUGUUCACUAUAAUGCAGCUUUCUAAAUUUACA